UACGUAGGGGGCAAGCGUUGUCCGGAUUUAUUGGGCGUAAAGAGCGUGUAGGCGGCCAGAUAGGUCAGCUGUGAAAGCUCGAGGCUCAACCUCGAGAUGUCGGCUGAAACCAUCUGGCUAGAGUCCGGAAGAGGAGAAUGGAAUUCCCGGUGUAGCGGUGAAAUGCGCAGAUAUCGGGAAGAACACCCAUGGCGAAGGCGGUUCUCUGGGACGGUACUGACGCUGAGACGCGAAAGCGUGGGGAGCAAACAGG
RNAcentral lists this ribosomal RNA (253 nucleotides) under uncultured bacterium. Its description in RNAcentral is "partial 16S ribosomal RNA". It matches the Rfam family "Bacterial small subunit ribosomal RNA", at positions 524 to 776 of the family's 1533-position model. The record is from RNAcentral.